This 496-nucleotide ribosomal RNA is filed under the name uncultured bacterium. Its description in RNAcentral is "partial 16S ribosomal RNA". It matches the Rfam family "Bacterial small subunit ribosomal RNA", at positions 29 to 507 of the family's 1533-position model. The record is from RNAcentral.
AUGCACGCUGGCGGCGUGCCUAAUCCCUGCCAGUCGAGCGAACAGACGAGGAGCUUGCUCCUCUGACGUUAGCGGCGGACGGGUGAGUAACACGUGGAUAACCUACCUAUAAGACUGGGAUAACUUCGGGAAACCGGAGCUAAUACCGGAUAACAUGUUGAACCGCUUGGUUCAACAGUGAAAGACGGUCUUGCUGUCACUUAUAGAUGGAUCCGCGCCGCAUUAGCUAGUUGGUAAGGUAACGGCUUACCAAGGCAACGAUGCGUAGCCGACCUGAGAGGGUGAUCGGCCACACUGGAACUGAGACACGGUCCAGACUCCUACGGGAGGCAGCAGUAGGGAAUCUUCCGCAAUGGGCGAAAGCCUGACGGAGCAACGCCGCGUGAGUGAAGAAGGUCUUCGGAUCGUAAAACUCUGUUAUUAGGGAAGAACAAAUGUGUAAGUAACUAUGCACGUCUUGACGGUACCUAAUCAGAAAGCCACGGCUAACUACGUG